Molecule: non-coding RNA, 530 nt
Organism: Carica papaya (papaya)
Lineage: Eukaryota; Viridiplantae; Streptophyta; Magnoliopsida; Brassicales; Caricaceae
Source: RefSeq, a predicted model, not a curated record
GUAUUUCUUUUUAUCUUCCUCAUAUUUUUACUCUUUUCGUUUGUGAAUCACUUCGGUUUUAGAUAUGAAAUUACUGAAGGAUUGGAUUUUGUAGUUGCAAGUCCAACUUGGUUUUAGAUCAUCAGCCAUGCCUGGUUGUUUCAAUGUUCAAGAGAGUUUGCAAGAUCUGGAGCAAUCAGUGGACUCUACUCAGUUUCACAGCACGUUGACAAAGCAUCUCCACAAUAAGCAGCAAUCUAGAUAGCAAGAACACUGGCACCUGUGAAUUUCUUUCACAAUAAAGCUAAAUGUAACUUCUUGUUUGCUUGCCUUCAAAUGUAAAAAAGCUUGAUGUCUUGUAUGUUCAUGUGCAUCUUUUCUUCGGUUCUGCAUUUUUCUCAUGUAACUCCGGUGAAAUUUCCUCCCAUUGAGACUUUGUCUUGAUGAUGAGGAUAGACGAUUCUUUGUUUUCUUUUAAUUCAAGUGUAAAUUACAGUUUCAUCUCUUAGAGUUGAUUUUAUCGCAAUCAACACAGAUUCUUUUGUUGAUAA